GUUAGGUAGGCAGCUACAGUAGCUGAAUGAUGUUAACAUCUUCAGGUUUUGUUUCAUUAAAUGUAUUUUAUUUUAUCUGGGUGCUUACGUCACCUACUGACACCCUGGUACUACCCAUAGAUCCCGCUCUCCUCAGUCUGAGAAAACACUGAGAGAGAAAGAACAACUUGUCAGGUGGUGCAUUGGAGACUGAUGUGUUCCUGUCCUGUCUUUUCAUAAUACUAUUGCAGAUCGACAUAAAAGCCUAAAAGACAGCCGUGGUGUUGCUCUUCAUUUCUUGGUUCUCCUGUGGUGCAUAAGAAACCCGCUACAGAUUGGUGCCGUGACCCGGAUCAACAGAUCAGCUGCAGCAGAUCGCCGAGGGACCCCUAAACAGAACUGGAUCGACAUCACACGUUUAAAACAUUUGAGGGCAAGAACAACUUGUCAGGUGGUGCAUUGGAGACUGAUGUGUUCCUGUCCUGUCUUUUCAUAAUACUAUUGCAGGUAUGGUUCUAUUGUCUAAGAAUUAAGAUUAUACAUUCUUUGUAUUAAGGACUGGUUAUUAUUUUAUACUAUACAUUAUGGCUUUAUGUAU
Molecule: long non-coding RNA, 577 nt
Filed under: Salmo salar (Atlantic salmon)
Lineage: Eukaryota; Metazoa; Chordata; Actinopteri; Salmoniformes; Salmonidae
Description: lncRNA (ENSSSAG00000096116.1)
Source: RNAcentral